This 738-nucleotide unclassified non-coding RNA is filed under the name Hevea brasiliensis (rubber tree). Lineage: Eukaryota; Viridiplantae; Streptophyta; Magnoliopsida; Malpighiales; Euphorbiaceae. The record is from RNAcentral.
UGGAUGACUUGCAAACUGGGCAUAAUGUUUUUCUGCCGAGCCAUGGAUCGAUACAAUCUUUAUGAAAUUUAUGCAGGCAAGGAAGAUGACGUAUAGUUUCUCCAAUAGUUGGGGUUUCUAGACAGAUUGCACAAGUUCUCAAAGUUCUCAGUCUGUACUACAGAUUCUGGCAAACUGUUAAUUCGAUUGACCGAUGCGCCGUGUUGGUGAUUGUUCUCAUCAAGGGCCAACAACAUUUCAUAAUCAUUUUCAUUAAAAUCACGCUGAACUUGAAGAAUGCGACUAGCUGUCAUAUUCAUAUCACUGAAUUCCCCUACUGCAUCUUCUAAUGCUUCCAAUAUAUCAAGUCUCAUGUCUAAGUCCAUGCCCAAAGGAAACUGGAAACUACUGGCUCUAGAUAAUGCUGUAUGAGAAUGGUUUCUGGCUCUAGAUAAUGCUGAAGGAUGUCGGUUCAAUAAGCGAUUCCUCAAUGAUGUUCUAGCAGCAGGAACUUGAGCCUGGGCUCGUCUCCUAUUUGAAGGGUUCUGAAAGGACUGUGGCUGGGGCUGUCUAUUUGCAUGCAUUGUAGCUGAGCUUCUAAGACGUAGUCUAGGGUGAUUUUGACUAGAAGCAUUGCGGAAAGCAUCCUCCUCCUGCUGCAGUACCCAUGCUAUAUUUUCAUCAAUCUCACUGCCUCCAAAUAUUGGCGUCUCAUGAUACAAUUGUUCUGGGAGUUCACGAGCCAAAAUUUCAUCUGCU